GAGUUUGAUCGUGGCUCAGAUUGAACGCUGGCGGCAGGCCUAACACAUGCAAGUCGAGCGGAUGAAGGGAGCUUGCUCCUGGAUUCAGCGGCGGACGGGUGAGUAAUGCCUAGGAAUCUGCCUGGUAGUGGGGAUGACGUCCGGAAACGGGCGCUAAUACCGCAUACGUCCUGAGGGAGAAAGUGGGGGAUCUUCGGACCUCACGCUAUCAGAUGAGCCUAGGUCGGAUUAGCUAGUUGGUGGGGUAAAGGCCUACCAAGGCGACGAUCCGUAACUGGUCUGAGAGGAUGAUCAGUCACACUGGAACUGAGACACGGUCCAGACUCCUACGGGAGGCAGCAGUGGGGAAUAUUGGACAAUGGGCGAAAGCCUGAUCCAGCCAUGCCGCGUGUGUGAGAAGGUCUUCGGAUUGUAAAGCACUUUAAGUUGGGAGGAAGGGCAGUAAGUUAAUACCUUGCUGUUUUGACGUUACCAACAGAAUAAGCACCGGCUAACUUCGUGCCAGCCG
RNAcentral lists this ribosomal RNA (508 nucleotides) under uncultured microorganism. Its description in RNAcentral is "bacterial SSU rRNA". It matches the Rfam family "Bacterial small subunit ribosomal RNA", at positions 9 to 514 of the family's 1533-position model. The record is from RNAcentral.